RNAcentral lists this ribosomal RNA (340 nucleotides) under uncultured bacterium. RNAcentral's name for it is "bacterial SSU rRNA". It matches the Rfam family "Bacterial small subunit ribosomal RNA", at positions 459 to 793 of the family's 1533-position model. The record is from RNAcentral.
GCAUAUUUGUACGUUACCUACUACGAAGAAGACACCGGCGAACUACCGUGCCAGCAGCCGCGGUAAUACGGAGGGUGCGAGCGUUAAUCGGAAUUACUGGGCGUAAAGCGCAUGCAGGCGGCCUGUUAAGUCAGAUGUGAAAGCCCGGGGCGUUAACCUCGGAAUUGCAUUUGAAACUGGCAGGCUAGAGUCUUGUAGAGGGGGGUAGGAAGUUUCAGGUGUAGCGGUGAAAUGCGUAGAGAUCUGAAGGAAUACCAGUGGCGAAGGCGGCCCCCUCGGACAAAGACUGACGCUCAGAUGCGAAAGCGUGGGGAGCAAACAGGAUUAGAUACCCUGGUAG